AUGGGUGUGACACAUGCAUCAACAUUUUGUUUCUUUUUGUUGCUCGGUGUUUACAUUUCCUUUACUGGUUUAUCAGUUCCUCACCUGAUGAGCGUGUUCUUGGGCUUUGUGGGUCUCCUCGUGCCCUGGUUCAUCCCUAAGGGUCCUAAUCGGGGAGUCAUCACCAUGCCGGUGACUUGUUUGGUUUGCUGCUAUCUCUUUUGGCUGAUUGCAAUUCUGGCCCAGCUCAACCCUCUCUUUGGAUCACAAUUGAAGAAUGAAACCAUCUGGUACCUGAAGUACCAUUGGCCUUGA
Molecule: RNA transcript, 294 nt
Organism: Nannospalax galili (Upper Galilee mountains blind mole rat)
Lineage: Eukaryota; Metazoa; Chordata; Mammalia; Rodentia; Spalacidae
Gene name: V-type proton ATPase subunit e 1 pseudogene
Exons: 3
Source: RefSeq, a predicted model, not a curated record